This 234-nucleotide ribosomal RNA is filed under the name uncultured bacterium. RNAcentral describes it as "partial 16S ribosomal RNA". It matches the Rfam family "Bacterial small subunit ribosomal RNA", at positions 524 to 760 of the family's 1533-position model. The record is from RNAcentral.
UACAGAGGUCCCGAGCGUUGUUCGGAUUCAUUGGGCGUAAAGGGCGCGUAGGUGGCGCGACAAGUCAACGGUGAAGCUCGGCGCUCAACGCCGAGUCGGCCGUCGAUACUGUUGGCUUGAGCACUGUAGAGGCUAAUGGAAUUCCGGGUGUAGCGGUGGAAUGCGUAGAGAUCCGGAAGAACACCGGUGGCGAAGCGUUAGCUGGGCAGUGCUGGACGACUGAGGCGCGACAGC